RNAcentral lists this ribosomal RNA (253 nucleotides) under uncultured bacterium. Its description in RNAcentral is "partial 16S ribosomal RNA". It matches the Rfam family "Bacterial small subunit ribosomal RNA", at positions 524 to 776 of the family's 1533-position model. The record is from RNAcentral.
UACGUACUGCGCGAACGUUAUUCGGAAUCACUGGGCUUAAAAGGUGCGCAGGCGGCUGCCCAAGCCCGAAGUGAAAUGCCCCGGCCCAACCGGGGACGUGCUUCGGGGACUGGGCGGCUCGGGCGAGCUAGGGGUCCGUGGAACUCCCGGUGGAGCGGUGAAAUGUGUUGAGAUCGGGAGGAACGCCGGUGGCGAAAGCGACGGACUGGGGCUUUGCCGACGCUCAGGCACGAAAGCCAGGGGAGCGAACGGG